GCCGGUGUAGCUCAACUGGUAGAGCAGCUGAAUCGUAAUCAGCAGGUUGCGGGUUCAAGUCCUGUCACCGGCUCCA
This 76-nucleotide transfer RNA is filed under the name Halothermothrix orenii H 168. RNAcentral's name for it is "tRNA-Thr (CGT) (tRNA-Thr-CGT-1-1)". It matches the Rfam family "tRNA". From Rfam's summary of the family: Transfer RNA (tRNA) molecules are approximately 80 nucleotides in length. Their secondary structure includes four short double-helical elements and three loops (D, anti-codon, and T loops). Further hydrogen bonds mediate the characteristic L-shaped molecular structure. tRNAs have two regions of fundamental functional importance: the anti-codon, which is responsible for specific mRNA codon recognition, and the 3' end, to which the tRNAs corresponding amino acid is attached (by aminoacyl-tRNA synthetases). tRNAs cope with the degeneracy of the genetic code in two manners: having more than one tRNA (with a specific anti-codon) for a particular amino acid; and 'wobble' base-pairing, i.e. permitting non-standard base-pairing at the 3rd anti-codon position. The record is from RNAcentral. Lineage: Bacteria; Bacillati; Bacillota; Clostridia; Halanaerobiales; Halothermotrichaceae.